CCUACGGGAGGCAGCAGUGGGGGAUAUUGCACAAUGGGGGGAACCCUGAUGCAGCGACGCCGCGUGGGGGAAGAAGCGCCUCGGCGCGUAAAGCCCUGUCAGCAGGGAAGAAAAUGACGGUACCUGAAGAAGAAGCCCCGGCUAACUAAGUGCCAGCAGCCGCGGUAAUAAGUAGGGGGCAAGCGUUAUCCGGAUUUACUGGGUGUAAAGGGGGCGCAGACGGCGAUGCAGGCCAGGAGUGAAAGCGCGGGGCCCAACCCCGGGACUGCUCUUGGAACUGCGUGGCUGGAGUGCAGGAGGGGCAGGCGGAAUUCCUGGUGUAGCGGUGAAAUGCGUAGAUAUCAGGAGGAACACCGGUGGCGAAGGCGGCCUGCUGGACUGCAACUGACGUUGAGGCCCGAAAGCGUGGGGAGCAAACAGGAUUAGAUACCCGGGUAGUC
RNAcentral lists this ribosomal RNA (440 nucleotides) under uncultured bacterium. Its description in RNAcentral is "partial 16S ribosomal RNA". It matches the Rfam family "Bacterial small subunit ribosomal RNA", at positions 338 to 795 of the family's 1533-position model. The record is from RNAcentral.